GGGAUAACACUGGGAAACAGGUGCUAAUACCGCAUAACCAUAGUUACCGCAUGGUAACUAUGUAAAAGGUGGCUAUGCUACCGCUUUUGGAUGGGCCCGCGGCGCAUUAGCUAGUUGGUGGGGUAAAGGCUUACCAAGGCAAUGAUGCGUAGCCGAACUGAGAGGUUGAUCGGCCACAUUGGGACUGAGACACGGCCCAAACUCCUACGGGAGGCAGCAGUAGGGAAUCUUCCACAAUGGGCGAAAGCCUGAUGGAGCAACGCCGCGUGGGUGAAGAAGGUCUUCGGAUCGUAAAACCCUGUUGUUAGAGAAGAAAGUGCGUGAGAGUAACUGUUCGCGUUUCGACGGUAUCUAACCAGAAAGCCACGGCUAACUACGUGCCAGCAGCCGCGGUAAUACGUAGGUGGCAAGCGUUAUCCGGAUUUAUUGGGCGUAAAGGGAGCGCAGGCGGUCUUUUAAGUCUGAUGUGAAAGCCUUCGGCUUAACCGGAGUAGUGCAUUGGAAACUGGGAGACUUGAGUGCAGAAGAGGAGAGUGGAACUCCAUGUGUAGCGGUGAAAUGCGUAGAUAUAUGGAAGAACACCAGUGGCGAAAGCGGCUCUCUGGUCUGUAACUGACGCUGAGGUUCGAAAGCGUGGGUAGCAAACAGGAUUAGAUACCCUGGUAGUCCACGCCGUAAAC
RNAcentral lists this ribosomal RNA (680 nucleotides) under uncultured bacterium. RNAcentral's name for it is "bacterial SSU rRNA". It matches the Rfam family "Bacterial small subunit ribosomal RNA", at positions 140 to 807 of the family's 1533-position model. The record is from RNAcentral.